ACCAGGCUGGCAGACAGUUGUUACCGUGCAACGAGCAGACGCUUGCGAAAAGUACUAGCUACAAAAUUGGCAAAAUUGCCUGCUGCUGUAUACAUAGCGCGCGUGUGUGUAUGUUGCUAACCUAGCUAGUUAGCUAGCCAUCAAUAAAGUUCUUAAUGUUACAACAUGGCAGACGGCUUGAGCACCCACACCGGACUGGCUGCCUAUCGUUCCCGGGAUGCUGUCAAAAACCUUACAAUUAAGAUCCGUAUUCAGAGAGUCACCUCCACAGCAGCCCUCUCCCAACACCUUCAGCAGCAGGUUUGGACUCAACAGGAGAGGGGAGGCAUUGAGCUGGACACCCUCAACUCACAGACUCAAUCAGCAUUCCCAGAGUAUGGUGACGCAGGUCAAGUCCAAUCCUACCUUACUGGCACAUAGGAUGGCCAAUGUCAGACACAGACGACAGGACAGACGCCCAGUUGACCGCACCAUCCCCACGUCCAGGCUGAUUACCUGGGACCCCUCGGAGGACUUUGUGAAGACCAGCCACAUGGUCAACACACCUGUACAGACCAUGCACAUCAUGGGGAACCUGGGACCAGCGGGCAAACUUGGCCAAAAGGAGAAGGAAUGCUUGUCUGCACGAUAAGAGCAGAUGGAAAUGGAGUGGUUACCAUCAAACCAGACUUCAACAAAGGCAAGGAGCCCUACUGGCCAGUGACCCGCACCCGCUGAAGUCAAAAUGUUUUACCCCUAGCUCAAGUUGAGAUGGAGGGGGAGAAGAGGGAGGUGUGGCGUCAGACCAGAGGAGACGGAACAGCAACAGUGCAUAUAUAGACCGUUAUGUACGUCAUAAAGACUACCUCAACAGCUUGGUUGGCCAGGACUGAAAUGGUAUGCAUGUAGUUUGUAACAGAUCUUUAACACAAGUUGUUUCGUCAGCAAAGGUCAUCUCAAAUCCAAUUUUAUUUGUUACAUGUGCUG
Long non-coding RNA from Oncorhynchus kisutch (coho salmon), 966 nucleotides. RefSeq lists it as uncharacterized. The transcript has 7 exons. The record is from RefSeq and is a predicted model, not a curated record. Lineage: Eukaryota; Metazoa; Chordata; Actinopteri; Salmoniformes; Salmonidae.